UCCAAGUUCCAAUCUCCACCGUUCUCGUUCUCUCUCUCCCUCCGUUUUCUUUUCCGCGUGAAACUCCUCUCCCCGGCCGAUUCCCUUUUCCCCUCGUCAGAUCCGAGACGACGAGUGGCGGGCGGCGGCCAUGGCCGUGUGCAAUGGCUCUCGGCGGAGGCCAGCGCGACGGGGCAGCGGGCAUCGCUCCACAGAGGCACCCUCCUGCUCGCGACGACGCUGGUGGGGAGGUCCUUGCUGUGGGGCACGCGGCGCGCGGAGAUAGCGCAACUCUGCUGCGACAUGGGUCAACGGCAGCAGCCUAGAUCCGGCAGAGGGGAACGACACACCGGCGGGUGCAUGAACGCGCGCAGUCCGGCGAGGGAUCAGCGCGUCCCGGUGAGUGCGUAGCCCAGCGAAAUUUGUUCCUGCCCAAAGGGGAGCUUCAGCGGAUGCCUGGUUUGUUUCGACAGAAAGAAAUGGAUCAUAGCUGGUGUACCUUGUCUUCAUGAAGCAACUUGAAAGUUUUUGCAGACCUAUACAAGAGUGUCGGCAUUAGUUAGAUGGAGGAGCUAGAGGCUGACGAGGUUCAAGGCCGGGCGGAUGGAGGAGAUGGUGCUCAAGAGGUGGCUGGAGCUCGAGAACAGCUUUAGGAACAUGCAUGCGGAGAUUGAUUCGAGCAUAGUGCCUGAGAAAUGCAUUGCAUCGAUCAGUGUUUGGACAAGUUGGAGUUGGCAACAAUGAUGAUCACUGCUCUGCAGUACAGGAAUACAGAUUCGUUUUUUUGGAAACAGCUCUAUGCAGAAAAUUUCCCAAGUUGCUUGUGGAUGGAGACACACAUUUUGCCCUUUAUGAAAAGUGAACAUAUUUUAUUUUGAUGAAGGGGUAGUAGCAGACAAUUCGGCAGUAGCAAAAUAGUUAAGUGGUGGUUCCUAUCUAGUGCACUUGGUUUCUUUGCUAUCUUGCUCUUCCAGGCUAACAAUUUUAUCGACUUGCACCAUAUGAAGGAAAUGUGCCGGAGCCUUUAAGCCCAGACGGUUCUGGCUACAAGAAUUUCAGAAGCUCCAUUUGCAGGAAUCAGAUUGUGCUCUGGUAGUUGUAUCUUUUCAUAGGUGUUCGUGCACUAAGCCUUUUCCAUUCUGCCUCCCUAUUUCCAUAUCAAGAUAUCACUUUGGCCGAUGAGGGCAGGCCAUGCAUAGGCACAGUUAAAUCAGAACAAGAGACGGGUGACACUGAAACAGUAAUCGCAGUGGCGUCGCAGAUGCCACCAGCAGAAAAUGUGGUGGGGGAGGGGGGGCACGCCCGGCUUUACUUUUACCUUUUUUUUCACACGGUGUAUAUGCUAGUCCAACAAGGCAUCUGCGCCACACCAACCCUUCUGUCUCCCUUCUCCUAGCCGCACCGGAAGGAGAUCCGAGUGUCGCCGGGCAGCAACAGGAGCCGGAAGCCGAUCGAGCCGUACGAGAGCGGCUCUGCGAGGAUCUGAGAAGCCGGGAGGGUAGCAGCGGCCGGCAUCUGCGGGGGUGCGUCACCGGCACCCGCGCGAAGCUGAGAAGCCAUGGAUCCGAGAAGCUCCAAGGUCGGAGCACGGAGGCGCGUGGAGAGUGGGGGAUUCGCAAACAGAGGUGCAGGUUCCUACCCGGAGAGUCGGAUCGGACGCAACUCACCCGUGUCCGCGCUGUGGUCUUCGCCCGACCAGGCAAGAUGAACCAGCCGCAGCGGCCGAGGGGUCUGGCACAAAGGCACCGUCAAGGAGGAAGGUACGGGUGCCAGUACAGGCUGGAGGACCAAGGAAGGUGCGCAAACCAGUCAUGGCCAGAUCAAACCACGGCAGGCAGCAGUUAGAUGGUGGAAGAGAUUUGUUCGUGCUUGCCCGCAACAUAACGCUGCCCCCAGAGCUCGUACAAGUCAUCUCCUGGGUAGGAAAUUCAGGGCUUGCGGCAUACGUCUGCCGCAUCACAGGCAGAAUGGCUGAUAGAGGAAUCAUGUUCUUUAACAAGGAGUGUACUUCAAGAUGCAUUAAGAAAUCAGAUAAAACCAUGACACUUUCGAACGGGGAAUGGUGCAUGGCUUUCCACGGGAAGAUCAAGAACUACAGGGACAGAAUUGCAAGGUUCACCAGCGGAUGGAAGGUAUUCGCCGAGUCUAUCGGCAUUACUGUGAACUCAGCAUGUUUGUUCAGCUUCUGCCGCUUCCCGAAAACUGGCUUGCAUGCGACCGUUUUCAUCCUGGCAUUAUGAUCGCCUCGACGGCCGUGGCUUUUUUGGCAAGCCACUGGUUUUACAAUAUAGCUAGCAAUUAGCAGAUUAAUUAAGAUAAUAA
RNA transcript from Panicum virgatum (switchgrass), 2301 nucleotides. RefSeq lists it as uncharacterized. The transcript is spliced from 11 exons. Lineage: Eukaryota; Viridiplantae; Streptophyta; Magnoliopsida; Poales; Poaceae. The record is from RefSeq and is a predicted model, not a curated record.